RNAcentral lists this ribosomal RNA (378 nucleotides) under uncultured bacterium. RNAcentral describes it as "bacterial SSU rRNA". It matches the Rfam family "Bacterial small subunit ribosomal RNA", at positions 521 to 896 of the family's 1533-position model. The record is from RNAcentral.
UAAUACGUAGGGUGCAAGCGUUGUCCGGAAUUAUUGGGCGUAAAGAGCUCGUAGGCGGUCUGUCACGUCGGAUGUGAAAACUCGGGGCUCAACCCCGAGCCUGCAUUCGAUACGGGCAGACUUGAGUUCGGCAGGGGAGACUGGAAUUCCUGGUGUAGCGGUGAAAUGCGCAGAUAUCAGGAGGAACACCGGUGGCGAAGGCGGGUCUCUGGGCCGAUACUGACGCUGAGGAGCGAAAGCGUGGGGAGCGAACAGGAUUAGAUACCCUGGUAGUCCACGCCGUAAACGGUGGGUGCUAGGUGUGGGGAACUUUCCACGUUCUCCGUGCCGCAGCUAACGCAUUAAGCACCCCGCCUGGGGAGUACGGCCGCAAGGCUA